AUUGUUGUUAAAGACCUCUCUGACAUCUUUAUCUAAAAAAACAAUGUGUAAACUGAGUCUGAACUAUCAAUGCAAUGCAACCCUACCAGACAGCCUCACACCAACAACAGCGAGUGUCUCAUGAUGAAAUGAUCUCCUAGUCAAGAAGCUUUAAAAUCACACAGAGUCUUCAAGAGUGAUUUCUCAGAAAAACAGCGGAAGCCACCACAAAUUGGCAGAGGUGGGGGCAAGUCACACAUGUUCAAGUCUCA
This is a long non-coding RNA of Sinocyclocheilus rhinocerous, 251 nucleotides long. RefSeq lists it as uncharacterized. The record is from RefSeq and is a predicted model, not a curated record. The transcript is spliced from 3 exons. Lineage: Eukaryota; Metazoa; Chordata; Actinopteri; Cypriniformes; Cyprinidae.